RNAcentral lists this ribosomal RNA (465 nucleotides) under Vreelandella stevensii. RNAcentral's name for it is "partial 16S ribosomal RNA". It matches the Rfam family "Bacterial small subunit ribosomal RNA", at positions 338 to 795 of the family's 1533-position model. Lineage: Bacteria; Pseudomonadati; Pseudomonadota; Gammaproteobacteria; Oceanospirillales; Halomonadaceae. The record is from RNAcentral.
CCUACGGGUGGCUGCAGUGGGGAAUAUUGGACAAUGGGCGAAAGCCUGAUCCAGCCAUGCCGCGUGUGUGAAGAAGGCCUUCGGGUUGUAAAGCACUUUCAGUGGGGAAGAAAGCCUUGGGGCUAAUACCCUCGAGGAAGGACAUCACCCACAGAAGAAGCACCGGCUAACUCCGUGCCAGCAGCCGCGGGAAUACGGAGGGUGCGAGCGUUAAUCGGAAUUACUGGGCGUAAAGCGCGCGUAGGCGGUCUGAUAAGCCGGUUGUGAAAGCCCCGGGCUCAACCUGGGAACGGCAUCCGGAACUGUCAGGCUAGAGUGCAGGAGAGGAAGGUAGAAUUCCCGGUGUAGCGGUGAAAUGCGUAGAGAUCGGGAGGAAUACCAGUGGCGAAGGCGGCCUUCUGGACUGACACUGACGCUGAGGUGCGAAAGCGUGGGUAGCAAACAGGAUUAGAUACCCCUGUAGUC